RNAcentral lists this ribosomal RNA (253 nucleotides) under uncultured bacterium. RNAcentral's name for it is "partial 16S ribosomal RNA". It matches the Rfam family "Bacterial small subunit ribosomal RNA", at positions 524 to 776 of the family's 1533-position model. The record is from RNAcentral.
UACGGGGGGGGCAAGCGUUGUUCGGAAUUACUGGGCGUAAAGCGCGCGUAGGCGGCUUUUCAAGUCGAGCGUGAAAUCUCCGGUCUUAAAUCGGAAACGGCGUUCGAUACUGUCGAGCUGGAGUACUGAAGAGGUAGCUGGAAUUCCCGAUGUAGCGGUGAAAUGCGUAGAGAUCGGGAGGAACACCGGCGGCGAAGGCGGGCUACUGGGCAGAUACUGACGCUGAGGCGCGAAAGCCAGGGGAGCAAACCGG